Molecule: long non-coding RNA, 4508 nt
Organism: Sparus aurata (gilthead seabream)
Lineage: Eukaryota; Metazoa; Chordata; Actinopteri; Spariformes; Sparidae
Source: Ensembl
AUGAACCUAACGAUGUUGGGACGCUCCUUGGAUAUUUUUGCACCCUUAAUCAUCUGUUGUUCUAUCAUCUGCUUUGUGACCUUGUGCUGCUUCUGCUGCAAGAAGUGUCGGACAAGAGGAAACCAAAAUGUGAAUGCCACCUUAGUCUACACACCACCCCAGCAGCCAAUCCCCCCCUCUGGAUAUCAGCCAUCCUACCCAGGCUUCCAGCCUGUACCUGUCUAUGGAGACGGGUAUGGACAUGGAGGAUAUGGAGGCCCACCCAUCACUCCAGGACCACCACCCUCAUAUUUGGAAGCCAGUGAGUUAAUUCAUGACAUCAUUCACUUUAAUAAUGAAUCUAAGCAGUGACUGAGACACACUCAGUUAUCCAAGCUAGUGUUGUUUCAAAAAAAGGUUCUAGACUAGACAGACUAGAAAUCAAGUCAUAGAGUCGUCCUGUUUACUAUAAUAAUCAACAUUAUGGGUAACGAUUGUCCCAGAUUUUAGUCAAACUCUCAUGUGUUGUCAGGGAAGCAGAGUUAUAACUUGUGAAAAACUACAGAUUUUUCAUAUAAACCAGAUAUGCCCUUCAAUGUGACCUUCAUCAGUUUUACUGAUACUUAUUAAUGGACAACAGAGUCCAGAACUGGAUGCCUCUUCAGACAUUAUCCCUUACAUGAAUGAGUGACACCUUUGAACCGGGUGACAUGUUCCUCCAUUACCAUGGUCACUUUAUACAGUAACGUUUGUUAAGAACUACACUGGCUAGAUAUUUAAGAAACUUAGAAACUAUUUUAAUGUCUUAUGUUUUUAAAGGAUAAGGAGGUGCUGUAAUUCGACAUGUUUGACAAAAACAAACAUAUACACCACUAUUAACACUUCAUGAUUAUUGUUACGGGCCAUCAUUUUUCAGUAACAGCAAACCAAAUAUGUGUUUCUGUCUUUUCAGCUGAUCCAGCUCUCUUCCCAGCUGCAUUCGGUCCACCACAGCCGAUGUACCCCUACCCCGGGCAGCCUUAUGUCCCGCCACCACGGUCAGAUGAACUGGCACAGCCGGCCUACAACCCCGCUUAUGGUCCAUUCCCCUAAAACCAGCUCAUUAGACCGAAACACUCCUUGUUUUAAAAACCCCGGCUGCACCACCAUUCUCACUGGAAUGUGAAAUGUGUGGCUUGUGUUGUUUUGAUACAAUGGAAACUCCCAUUUUAAUGAAAUACAGCAUAUCUCAGGAAUAUAUAAGUAUAUAUAUCUAUAUAUAUCUAUAUAUACAUCUAUAUAUAUAUCUAUCUAUAUAUCUUUCUAUAUAGAUAGAUAGAUAGAUAGAUAGAUAGAUAGAUAUAUAUGGAAAUAUUUACAUAUAUUGUGUAUUUAAACCAGUAAAGUUCAUCACUUUAUCUUUCUGUGUAGACCUAUGUGAACACGAGCUUCAGGACUGGCCAUUUGUCAGGACCAAGUUGUGGGGCCGUUAGAUCGAUUGAAAUUGUAGUGAAUUUAUGAUGCCUCUGUUGUGAUAAACCCCAGCGGCCACUAGAGGUCACCUCUGCCUCAGGGUUAUUCUCUUUAGAAAGCGAGGGGAACAGAGUGGCGGAACAUUGUUUGCCGCAUGCAGGUGCCAAAUCUUGUUAUCAGUCUUUUAUUGUUACUUUGUAAAAGCCUAGUUUGCUGUUACUAAGUGAGUAGUUAACUGCUGAUAAAUGAAUAUUCAAGUAUGUAGUAAUCUUAAUUAAAGGUGCACUAUGCAGUUUUAGGGGUGACCUUUUAAUCAGAAGAGAAAAGUCAUAACUGAAUAAACUAUCCUCAAAGGACAAGAUCAUUUCAUAGUAUUACAUUGUUCAUAUGUGCAGGAGGAAGUAGCUAUGUUUUUAGCUUCACACAGUGUUCUGGGGACCUUAUACCCCUCUGACAAAGACUUAUACAUCAAAUACAUAUUUCUUACUGAUAUUGUGAAUGUUACUUUAAUUUGAAUUUCUUUCCUUUUAUCAUCAAAACUACAUAGUGCACCUUUAAACAACAUAAACGCUUAGUAGAGGUCUAGCAGUGAUGUAAUAAGUAAGUUAGUUAAGCUCAAAGUGUUCAAAAGUGUCUAUAGACUGCAAACAAGUGUUUUUUAAAAGAGCUCAAAAUGUCUUAAAAUCUACAAAAAUCUGUAGAUCUGUGGAUUUUGUUAAUUGGCAUCUUAUAAAGAUUAUAAGGGGCCUUAAAACUUUUAACUAACACCAACACUUUCAAGGAUCUUUAUAUAAAGCGUUGCCACUGGGAAAUUUUGAUUCUUCCACUGCAUCAAAGCAAUGGAGACUUUAACUACUGUUGCUUCUUAAACUCACUUCCAAUGAACUUACAGAAACCGUAAAGUCGCAACUCAUUGUUAUCACCUGCAGUGAGGACGAAACCGCUGUGCUCUGCUAAGUUUAGCCUCUUCCUGUGGGAUCACGUGCAGAUAAAUAGCCACGGUGGGUGUGCUCGCAUUUAAUCCCAUAAUAACCAGCGCCGCUCCCUCUUACAGCAUCCCGCACUAUCCAUUAAUCAAUACAGUAAUAGUGCUGACUGUGGCUGUCUCAGUGAUCGUAGCGGCCGGGGGGCUAUAACAGGAGAGAUGACCCUGCCCGUACAUACUGCUCCCUGCUCCAACAUCUAAAAUAAGAUCUCUCUCUCCUUGAAGUGUGGCUCAGACUGCUAAUGAGCACUGGUGUCGGGAUGCCUGUGUCAUGGAGCAUGUGGCAAAUAAUCUUUACAGCCAGUUCUCCUCCUCUCCAUCCCUUUCUUCUCCUCUCUUUCCCUUUCUUCCAUCCCUCCCUCUGACCGUGCUUUGUUCCGUCUAAAGGCAUUUUUGUCUGGCCUCCUGCCCGAGCUGCCAUUAAGAUGUUUUCAGCAUUUUCUCGACGUCCCACACCAUUCCUCACGUCUCUUCCCCCUUUUCUAUUCUGCUCAGAGGAAUCCUUCUGGCAUUUACCAUAUGUAUCUCAUAUCAGAGAUCGAGAACAGACACGAUGCCUGUCAAAAAUCAACCUUUAUUGAUGAGAUUUUAAAUAAUGGGCUCUGCAUGCAGUGUGUGUGGGAGCAUAAACUCCCUAAUGCGUGACAUCGCUUCUGCCAAGAUGCUCCUAAGAGAUACAAGCAUGCUGAACUCUCCCACACGCUCAGAUGGAAACACAAACAGACCGGACAGCAUUAUUCAUGUUUUGUUAUUUUUUUUUAAAAUGUGUUCCAUCACCAAAGGUUGAGUGUUAAAAAAAAGUUUACAACAUUAUUUAUAUUUGAUAUUUUUACUGUCUUUGACCAUUUAACAGGUUUCUACUGACAUACAGAUAUUCCUUUCAACCCGAGCCAUUACACUACCAAGAUUCUCUCUAGUGUUGUGUCUUUUGUGAAGUUAUCUGUCCAUGUUUGUACUAUUAUACAAAUGUUAUUUCAUUUUGCUGGCCCUCUUGAUCAGGACAGUCCUCUCUGGAUCAAAUAUAGGAUAAAUUAUAUUAAUGCGAUUGACUCUGAUGAUCCUUAGACUUUUAUUUUAACGCCACGAGGAGGUUGAAGUUUGUAUUUUUAGCUUAAUGUUUUUUUAAAUCUUGUUUAAUGUAUGACAUCUAUUUUUCUAUUGUGUAUUGGAUAUUUGUACAUUGUUAUGUGUAAUGUUGCUGUUUCUGUUAUCUGCCAGAGGACUACUGAAGGACAUCUGCAUUCUUGCUAAGUCAUGUUUACAUCACAUGUUUUUAAUGAUGUUCAUUAACUUGUUCUGUCUCCUUCAAAUAGACAAAUAAAAUAAUAUAACAAUGAAAAAAUGCUCACCUCGAGAUGAAUCCCAAUAAUUCAUAAAGUCAGCAUUUUAUUUUGCCUACAGUAGAAUAUCUUCAGCUGUGCUUUGUGGUUGGUGCCAAUAAGCUAAUGUUAGCAUGCUAAUACAGCACACGGUGCACACCAACAUGUAUACAUUGUCAUCACAAGAGGUUUUUUCGCUUACCCUUGCUGAUAGAAAUGGGGUGGAUAAAAUAAUAGAAACACCUGUCAGUAAAGUGCAACACCAAUAAUCAACACAACGAACUGCAGCCUCCAAACUAACCGUAAGUUGGACACAUUCAAACAGUUUUUGAACAAAAACCGAACAUUAUUGUGGGACUUCUGUAUUAAACUGCAGUUUAUAAUAAUUUAGUGACUGAGCGUAUAGUCAGUAUGUAGUUAACACUACAUGAGGGUGACGGGGUGCAGAGAGUUUUUGAUAUUAAGAAUUGGUGCCCUCCAGUAACCUGGUGUGUCUGUGUGUGUGUCAGUAGACAUUGAAGAUAGUGCCCAGAGACACUAAUCCUAUGUCGGUUUUAAUCCUCUUCAGGGUUUUUUCUAACUUUGCAGCCUCUUGAAGCUAAUUUCACCAAAAAGGUCUGCCACAUGGUUUGUCAAAUGGAGGCUCUCUGCAAGAACAUCGAGGAUAAACUGAAGGAACCUUCCAGAUGUGUUUUACAAGGUUUAUAAAACACCUUACUUUGACUGAUAAUGUGUUUUAGAUUUCACCAAGAUGUUGUAUUAAUAAAACACUU